ACGGCCGCAAGGUUAAAACUCAAAUGAAUUGACGGGGUCCCGCACAAGCGGUGGAUCAUGUGGUUUAAUUCGAUGCAACGCGAAGAACCUUACCUGGUCUUGACAUCCACAGAACUUUCCAGAGAUUGAUUGGUGCCUUCGGGAACUGUGAGACAGGUGCUGCAUGGCUGUCGUCAGCUCGUGUUGUGAAAUGUUGGUUUAAGUCCCGCAACGAGCGCAACCCUUAUCCUUUGUUGCC
This 238-nucleotide ribosomal RNA is filed under the name Klebsiella pneumoniae. RNAcentral's name for it is "partial 16S ribosomal RNA". It matches the Rfam family "Bacterial small subunit ribosomal RNA", at positions 882 to 1119 of the family's 1533-position model. Lineage: Bacteria; Pseudomonadati; Pseudomonadota; Gammaproteobacteria; Enterobacterales; Enterobacteriaceae. The record is from RNAcentral.